AGGAGAUAUGCCCCUGGAAGCCCAAGCUGCCAUGUGAGGUGUCCAGAUACCCUAAAGCUGCCAUGAUACAGAAAACAAGUAAAGAGAAAUCCUCGAGGAGCCCACUUGUUUGAGCCAUUGGCUUUGGAAACUUCUAAGCUGGGGCAGCAGGCUUGUGUGUGAAAAAGCCUUCAAAAUGGCCCCAGGCCCAGACACCAUUCGCUGGUAACCUCAUGAGACCCCAAACCACUGAGCUGAGCCACUCCCAAGUCCUUGAAUCACAGAAGCACGAGAGCAAAAGCCAAGACUCUUGUGCCAGCUUGAGAGGUAUGAAUAUGAAAAUUCACAACUCCCUGAAGCCUUCCCUGAGCUACCGAGAAUGUCACUUCAUCCACUGCCUGGCCGAGGAGGAAGGGAGUUGGAGAGGGACAGGGGCUACCAAGGGACUGUGGAAGUCAUUAGCAGGUGAUUGGAACACAGCGGCAUCCCUGAUACAAACAGAAUGUCAUUUUUUUAGGGCAAAGACAUAUAAGCCUCUAAAGGGUUUAGUAUAUUGA
RNAcentral lists this long non-coding RNA (536 nucleotides) under Mustela putorius furo (domestic ferret). Its description in RNAcentral is "lncRNA (ENSMPUG00000026795.1)". The record is from RNAcentral. Lineage: Eukaryota; Metazoa; Chordata; Mammalia; Carnivora; Mustelidae.